RNAcentral lists this unclassified non-coding RNA (171 nucleotides) under uncultured fungus. RNAcentral's name for it is "sequence contains ITS2". Lineage: Eukaryota; Fungi. The record is from RNAcentral.
CAACCCUCGGUGCCCCCGUGGCCCGGUGUUGGGGGCCCGCGCCUCGCCGCGGCCCCCUAAAUCCAGUGGCGGUCCGCUGCGGCCACCCUUGCGUAGUAGUAUAAACCUCGCAUCGGUAACCCGGCGGCCACCGGCCUCUAAACCCCCAAUCAAGACCGCCCAGCGCGGCAA